AUCAGAAGUCACAAACAAGAAUAAAGUGAAACUGCUGAUUUUGAAGGACUUAGAAUCUAAUUGAGGAGGCUGUUGAUUUUGGAGUGGCUGUGCAAUUCUAGUGAACUGCUAGCAAAGAGUGAUCAAUCAACACUUUGAAAGCUUCUGGUUCAUCCCAGUACCUAUCCAUUUCAAGAAGGACUUUUCAGCUACAUGGUUUCUGACAAUGGCAAAUACCACUGAAUAAACUAUAAUUUUUAUCUGGAUUCAUGAGACAGAAGAGCAUCCAUCCUGUUAAAGG
Oryctolagus cuniculus (rabbit) is the source of this 280-nucleotide non-coding RNA. Lineage: Eukaryota; Metazoa; Chordata; Mammalia; Lagomorpha; Leporidae. The record is from RefSeq and is a predicted model, not a curated record.